UGCGUCACUUCCGCCAGGCGGGUUCUUCUCGUGCGUCGCUGGCUUUUGUUCUUCCAUUUCCGAGGAGCGCGAGAGGAAGCCGCCAACGGCCAUAACGCUGGUAAGGUCCAUAGUGGCGAUAGCGGCCAUAACAAGCAGCGCGGCGCGACGAGUCGAGUGCAGCGCAGACCCGCGGAGUCGCUUUCCUGCUACUCAGUGUCGGAGGACGCGGCCCGGUGUCGGUGAAAGAGCGGAAAGUCGCUAACCGGAGAGGAAGCGUCGGUUCCACUUUUUUUUUCCCAGCCGCCUGACGAGAACAAGAGAAUCGAGCACAAGAUGGAGAACGAAAGCAAGUACCUCCCCGAGCUGUUGGCCGAGAAGGACAGUCUGGACGCGUCGUUCACUCACGCAAUGAAGCUCCUCAACGCAGAAAUUGAGAGGAUUCAGAAAGGCGAGACAAAGAAGGAGGAAGGCGACACCUAUCUGGACCUGUUCACCGUGAAGAAUGUGAAAUUGAAGGAGAGAGUGCUGAUUCCUGUCAAGCAGUACCCCAAGUUCAACUUUGUUGGGAAGAUUCUGGGGCCUCAAGGCAACACAAUCAAGCGUCUCCAGGAAGAGACUGGUGCCAAGAUAUCUGUCCUGGGCAAGGGCUCCAUGAGAGACAAGAACAAGGAGGAGAGUCUGCGUAAGAGCGGCGAGCCAAAGUACGCCCACCUGUCCAUGGAGCUGCAUGUAUUCAUUGAGGUGUUUGCUCCCGUUCCUGAGGCCUAUCUGCGCAUGGCCCAUGCAAUGGAGGAGGUCAAGAAGUUCCUGUUUCCUGACAUGAUGGAUGAUAUCUGCCAGGAGCAGUUUAUGGAGAUGAGCUACCUGAAUGGAGGCCAGGAAUCUGCCACGCGUGGCCGAGGAGGACCCCCAGUCCGAGGACGCGGAGCCCUCCCGCCUCCAUCCCAAGCAGCCAGGGGUAGAGCCUUGCCGCCCCGUGGGGCCGCACCUCGAGGCGGACCAGCGAGAGGCUCGGCUGUGCGGGGUGGCCCCUCUGCCCGAGGUGGACCCCCUACCCAGCCCACAAGGGGCGCAGCAGCAACACGAACCAGACCUCCUGCCCCAGGUCCCCAGCGGAUGCCCCCACCGCACCCGCCUGCCCCCGAACCCUACGAUGAAUACGCAUAUGAAGACAGCUACACAGAGCCAUCUUAUGAGUCAUAUGACAGUUACUACACACAGCCACAAGCAGAACCAGAGUACUACGAUUACGGACAUGGUGAGGCCCAGGAGGUGUACGAGCCCUAUGGUCAGGAUGACUGGAAUGGAACACGGGCUGCUGCUGUUCCUGGGAAAGCUCCGCCCUCAAGGACAACUAAGGGGGCGUACAGGGAGCAUCCGUACGGAAGAUACUGAAAGGGGCAAACAAACUGAGUUGUCAUGUGUCCCCAGCAACUGUCUCCUACGGCAGCUCUCGCUUUAAGCAACCAGACAAAAGCAAAAAAUAUUAGUCGACAGUAUGGUGGACAUUGUAUGGCCUUGGGCAACUCUUGCUGAGCGUCUAGAAGAGGCGGCGUGGGCGUAGUCCAGAACAGCCUGAAAGGACAAGUCCCGGUUUCUCAGCAGAGUGGCAGGCGGAAGAACUGCCUUGAUAUGUGGCUGCCCUCUAUGAAGACAAAGAAGUGAAAGCAGGAGAUGUUCCACUUGCAUGUAUUAGAAGUGUUGGCUCUGUAGGUAGUACAUGUUGGCAGGUGUGGCUGUGGGAGGAGGUGGUAAAUGGUGUUUUGCCCUAGACAAGGCUGUGCCUGAGUGUGUCUGCUGAAGGGAUGAGAUCUACGAGAUGAAGUUUUUUUUCCCCCUCCUUUUAUCCCCCCACAUAUCUUAGCACUGUUUUCCUGUACAUCUUACCAGAGACGACAUGUCGGAGAACUUCUGACCCCUUUUUGAGUUUUUAUCUUAGCUUCUGAGGAAAAAAAUAGCUGUGAGGAUCAGAGCGCCACCUGUCCAGUUGGAUCUGUUCUCUGGCUGUAGAACAGUUAAAUGCUGCAAUGCCAGUGGUGGACGAGACUCUGGAUCCACCGAGGCUUUCUUUUUCUUCUCUGGUUCUGCAGCAGUCCCUUCCUAUGGUGGACCACGCUGUACAGGCUGAGUCUGCCCAUAGAACACAAAAGGGUUACAUGUGCUGUUCAUGCUCCAUGCGAGCUUAUUGCAGUAACUAAGACCACAGUAACGGGUCAUAACUGAGAACUGUAAACCCCCCAUCUAUGAUCAGGUGCUCCAUCUCCAGUCUCCUUGAGGGACACCACUCCAGAGGUGUCAGUGCUUUUUUCAUUGCAGCUGCUGGCUCUGUCGUCUUCAAGGAGCAAAACGUACAUCCAGUUUAAAGGGGGUCCAAUGCUUAUUGUUUCUAUUGUAUAGUCUUAGAUUUGCUUUUUUUAAUGUUGAAAAGCUGGGACUCGGUGCUGUUUUCCCUCACAUACCACUGGACUGUAGGCACCGCCAGCGCGGGUCUGCUGUGGGCUGAAACUAAUAAAAGGAAUUCUAUUAACGACGCAGUGUGAUGCCGGCCGGUUAAAGGCACAGCCGUGCGACCAAGCAGUUGCCAGUUGGGUUCAAGGACAACAGAGGUCCUCUGAGGCAACAUUAUUCCCUCCUCAAUCCAAAAAGCUGCAUAACACAAAACCGCUAGUAGUACAGGAAGAUGGUUGAGUAUUGCAUUCUUGCAUCACUCUGCUUUACUGCUAAUUUGAUUUGGGCGUGCCACUCCUACAAAUUAAUGCAAAUGAGUGCCUGUUUUGCCCCCAGGGUAAUGGAGAUUGCCUUAGCCGCUGCUGCAGCAGCCCAUGGUAUUAUGUACAAAUCGUUUAUUGCUGUGGAUUUAAUAAGCAUUACCUGCGCAAGAUCCACUUAGAAACUGGAAAUCUGGAAACAGCUGUCUGUCAGGGCCAUAAAUGUGAUAAAAUUCCAUAAGGAGUUUAAAAUACUUUUAAAAGAAAACCAUCUUAUGUGUAUAACAGACAAGGGAACCUCUGAACUGCUGACAACUCUGCAGGAGCACAAGCUUCAGCCCAGGUCCUGUCUGCAGGCCCCUCCAGGCUCUGGACUGGAGUGCUUUAAGGUUUGCUAGUCGCCUCACAUGUAAAUCAAGUGUGUUUCAAAAAAAAAAACUUAAACUGGGUUUCCACGGCUGUGAGAACUGGAUUUUGCAGCCCCUCCUUGAGAAAGUUAUAAA
This is an RNA transcript of Scleropages formosus (Asian bonytongue), 3193 nucleotides long. It is a transcript of the gene named KH domain containing, RNA binding, signal transduction associated 1b, with no coding region annotated. The transcript is spliced from 11 exons. Lineage: Eukaryota; Metazoa; Chordata; Actinopteri; Osteoglossiformes; Osteoglossidae. The record is from RefSeq and is a predicted model, not a curated record.